CAGUAUAAAACGGAACUGUGCUUAAAAUAUCUUUGGAAUACGCGUACAUCUCGCAUUAUUGAAGUUACACCAGAUUGGUUCCUACUGCCGAGAAUAUGAAGUUGUUAUUAUUAUUACUAUUUAUACUGUUAAUUUCUUUGGUGAGUUGUGGAAAACAGCCUGCGGCAAAUAAUUUCCAGGUCGGCAGUAAGACAACCAGUAGGAGGUACACAGAUAUAUACAAAGGAAUUUCUGGCAACAAACCGAAUGAAAAACUGAGUUGAAGGACCAAAAGGACUGAGUUCAUACAUACAUAUGAGAGUGAAUACGACAGUUAAUCGGAAUAUAGUAUUCACAGAUACAUGUGUGGAAUUAUUAAACAAUAUUUAGCUUGAAAUAAAAUUAUGAUAGUGAUGCGAACCAUA
Molecule: long non-coding RNA, 404 nt
Organism: Teleopsis dalmanni
Lineage: Eukaryota; Metazoa; Arthropoda; Insecta; Diptera; Diopsidae
Exons: 2
Source: RefSeq, a predicted model, not a curated record